RNAcentral lists this ribosomal RNA (439 nucleotides) under uncultured bacterium. RNAcentral's name for it is "bacterial SSU rRNA". It matches the Rfam family "Bacterial small subunit ribosomal RNA", at positions 13 to 465 of the family's 1533-position model. The record is from RNAcentral.
UUGAUCCUGGCUCAGAAUCAACGCUGGCGGCGCGCUUAACACAUGCAAGUCGAACGAGAAAGGGGACAAUCCCUGAGUAAAGUGGCGUACGGGGUGAGUAACACGUGGGUAAUCUGCCUCUGGGUGGGGAAUAACUCUGGGAAACCGGAGCUAAUACCGCAUAAGACCGCAAGGUGAAAGGCGAAAGUCGCCGAGAGAGGAGCCCGCGGCUGAUUAGCUUGAUGGUGGGGUAACGGCCUACCAUGGCAAAGAUCAGUAGCCGGCCUGAGAGGGCACACGGCCACACUGGCACUGAAACACGGGCCAGACUCCUACGGGAGGCAGCAGUGGGGAAUCUUGCACAAUGGGGGAAACCCUGACGCAGCGACGCCGCGUGAACGAUGAAGCCCUUCGGGGUGUAAAGCUCUUUCGGCAGGGACGAUAAUGACGGGACCUCAAG